UGUGAGAGACAGCUGGCUAUAUAGAGGGACUGCAGAGUGUGAGAGACAGCAGGGUAUACAGAGAACAUGCAGAAUAUGAGAGACAGCUAGAGCGUGACCUGCGGAACAUCUCCUGAGUGCACGUUUAGCGAUGGAAGCAUCUGCAGAACAUGGGACAAUUGGACAGCUCUUUCUGGCUCUGUAUGAGAUGGGCUUCGAGGAGUCGCAGGUGCAGGCUGCCCUCAGAGCAGGGUGUUUCAAGGUUCAGGAUGCUGCAG
This is a long non-coding RNA of Pseudophryne corroboree (corroboree frog), 257 nucleotides long. RefSeq lists it as uncharacterized. Lineage: Eukaryota; Metazoa; Chordata; Amphibia; Anura; Myobatrachidae. The record is from RefSeq and is a predicted model, not a curated record. The transcript is spliced from 3 exons.